This is a long non-coding RNA of Populus nigra (black poplar), 643 nucleotides long. RefSeq lists it as uncharacterized. Lineage: Eukaryota; Viridiplantae; Streptophyta; Magnoliopsida; Malpighiales; Salicaceae. The record is from RefSeq and is a predicted model, not a curated record. The transcript is spliced from 3 exons.
UCCCCAUCCUCACAGUUCUCUUCUCCAAGCUUCCUCGAUCAACCCCUUCAAAACCCAGCUGCUGCUGCCAUCAAGAUCUUCUUUUUUCUUCUUCAAACGCUCACUCUCCUUCAAUAAAUGGCGAAAGACACAAUGCCACGCCCAUGGUUUCUCGAUUUAGUACCUCUCAUGGUUGUUCUCCUCGCCGUAGCCCAUGUUCUUGCUUUGGCUUAUUGGAUUUACAGAUUAGCCACUGAGAAACAGCCCCAGAGAAAUAAGAGACAUUGAGGAGGUUAAAAAACAAGGUAUUUGUUUUUAAAAUGCAGAAUACGAUUUCUUCCAACAUCAAAUACAAGCUCGUGAUGGGCUGCAUUUGGCUACCACAUAGACUUUGUGUUUUUGUAUAUCAAAAGUGCUACAUAUUCCUUGACUCUAGGGUUGGUACUUCAUAUAACAUUGUUGAGUGCCCAGUUUUUGGUUGUGAUGUCUUAACCAUCAGAUUCCUUGAUAACUGUUUGCGUGAUGUUGAAUCAUGCAUGCUCUAUUGCUUACCUUUGUUUGAGUACAUGGUCAUCUUUAUUGAUACAGGUACUCAAAUCCUGCUGUUAACUGAACAAAUGGUUAAAUUUGAAGUCUUCAGCUGUUGUAAAGAGAGAUUUCUGCA